CUUCUAAACAGCUUAACAACUGGGCUGUAUAUAGAUUGUCAAAGUUUACAAGACAAGGUGACUCUGAAAGUGAUCACUCAGGAUAUGUACGCCCUCUGCCAGUGCCUCGUAGUUUAAAUAGUGAUAUCUCGUAUUUUGGAGUUGGAGGCAAGCAAGCAGUGUUCUUCGUGGGACAGUCUGCCAGAAUGAUAAGCAAACCUGCAGCAUCUCAGGAUGUUCAUGAACUUGUCCUUUCUAAAGAGGAUUUUGAAAAGAAGGAGAAAAACAAAGAA
This is a long non-coding RNA of Melozone crissalis (California towhee), 272 nucleotides long. RefSeq lists it as uncharacterized. The transcript is spliced from 3 exons. Lineage: Eukaryota; Metazoa; Chordata; Aves; Passeriformes; Passerellidae. The record is from RefSeq and is a predicted model, not a curated record.